Molecule: ribosomal RNA, 275 nt
Filed under: uncultured bacterium
Lineage: Bacteria
Description: partial 16S ribosomal RNA
Rfam family: Bacterial small subunit ribosomal RNA
Source: RNAcentral
CCUACGGGGGGCUGCAGUGGGGAAUAUUGGACAAUGGGCGCAAGCCUGAUCCAGCAAUGCCGCGUGAGUGAUGAAGGCCUUCGGGUUGUAAAGCUCUUUUACCUGCGACGAUGAUGACGGUAGCAGGAGAAUAAGCCCCGGCUAACUUCGUGCCAGCAGCCGCGGUAAUACGAAGGGGGCUAGCGUUGUUCGGAAUUACUGGGCGUAAAGGGCGCGUAGGCGGCCCUGUCAGUCAAGCGUGAAAGCCCCGGGCUCAACCUGGGAAUUGCGCCUGA